This 1763-nucleotide long non-coding RNA is filed under the name Populus trichocarpa (black cottonwood). Its description in RNAcentral is "long non-coding RNA (PTRI_LNC001585)". The record is from RNAcentral. Lineage: Eukaryota; Viridiplantae; Streptophyta; Magnoliopsida; Malpighiales; Salicaceae.
AAAAAUACAAACACACACACAUAUCCUUUUUUAUUAUGAUUUUUCUCAUACACUAUCUUUUUACAUGUAAAAAGAAAUAUCAAAAAUUCAAAUUACCCAAACACCUUAACAGUUCCCAAAAUUACAUAACACAUUCCACAUAAAAAAUAAUAAUUACAUAAUAGCCCCUGAAAAUCCAGGAAACUGCUGGGAAGGCUUCUGGACCAACAAAAACACUGGCGGCGCGUCUCCUCCACGCGCUGCCGCGAGGAAUAAACUGGAAACGGUGGGAUCUGGCUCAUCCUCUUCUCCCCUUCCUUUCCUCGUCGGCGGUGACCUGCAAGAACAACCAAAACGCAACAAAGCAGUCGAUUUUAGUUCUCUCUUCUCUUUCUCAGAUCUGGUUCAUUCGGUUUUUUGGAUCUGCUUCACUGCAGAUCGGUCUCCUUCGGUCAUCUUCUUCUUCUCCUCUGUUCCAUGUGCUGCACGGCAAGGAGGAACAGACGAGGGAGUGGUGUCGCUGCUGGAGGCGGUGAGCUGGGUCUGCUGGCCUGUGGGUUGCUGCUGUUUGCGAUUCUGCUGGCGUUUGGCGAGCUGGCCGCUGGUUCAGAAAGAAAGAGCUGAGGGCCGGUUCCCUGUGUCAGUGGGCGGCGGUGUUGUCUUGGCCGCGAGGGAGAGUGAAGGCCAGUGGAGGGGCACGGCUGGCUGGCUUUGGGUCACAAAGCAGGGGCCAGCGGGAUUUUUGGAGGAGCAGGGUCUUGGCUGGCGGCUGUGUUGAUGACCAGGAGAUGGACCCUGUGGCUGAGGCUCUUCGUUUUUUUUCUUUCCAAAAGAGAGGAGGGGGCUGCGGCUACAGUGUUGGAAAAAUAGGGAGAAGAUAGGGCCGGCCGCUUUGUUUUUAAGAUGUGGCCAGGGGAGAUGGUUUUCUUUUUUUCAAGGGAGGGGGCGGUCGGCCUCAACAAGGGAAAGAGGGGAGACCAAAUGGCCAAAGGGAGAAGUGGCAGCUGAGGGGGGAUCUGGUUUUUUGUUUCAAAGGGAGAGGGGCCGCCGACCUCUGGUUCGCUUCCCCGAGAGAGGAAGGGUGGCCAGCUGCCCUCUCUUUGUGUGGGGUUCUCUCCGGUUUGCUUUCCCAAAGCCAAAGGAGUGGGGGGCUGUGUGUUGGUUUCAGAGGGUGGCGGCUGCUAUGGUUUUUUUGUAGGUUUAGGUUUUUUCCUUUCUUUCCCUCAGUUUUUCUCCGCCCCUCAUGCCUGUAAAAUUUUUCUCCCCCCCUGCUAUUUCACUGUAGCAUAGUAUUUAUAGGAAAAGUUUUGCUAGGUUUUCAAAUUAGUCCCUCAACUUUUUCCUUUUCUUUUCUUUUCCUCUUUUUUUUUUUUUAUAAAUUUUGAUUUUUCUUAUUUUUUUGUAUUUUUGAAAGCGAGCAAUAUCAACAUCAACUCAACAAGGAAAAUCAGUGAUCAUAAAAUUUACGCGUUAAAAGUUGAACGCGUUCCAAAUACCUUUGAAAAUUUUGAUAUUAGAUAAAUAACUAUGUUAGUUUACAUAGAGAUCAGUCAUUGUUUUAUGAGCAGACAAACUAACCAUACACCCAAUCCAUUCUUCUCAUGAUACAAACCCUAUAUAUAUAUAUAUAUAUAUAGACAGACAGAUAUAUAUAUAUAUACCCAUAAAAAAGAAGCAGUUAAGAAGCGAAGAAAGUAUAUAAAACAAGGGCAUAAUUCAUGGUCGAGAGAGUUGGGUCUUUGUUUCCUUACUUUUGGUUUUGGAAAUUCAGCUUUUGCUUCUGG